Molecule: ribosomal RNA, 229 nt
Filed under: uncultured bacterium
Lineage: Bacteria
Description: partial 16S ribosomal RNA
Rfam family: Bacterial small subunit ribosomal RNA
Source: RNAcentral
UGCGUAGGCGGCCUAUUAAGUCAGUGGUGAAAGGUAUCAGCUUAACUGAUGACGUGCCAUUGAAACUGAUAGGCUUGAGUACAGACGAGGUAGGCGGAAUUUAUGGUGUAGCGGUGAAAUGCAUAGAUACCAUAAAGAACACCAAUUGCGAAGGCAGCUUACUAGACCGAGACUGACGCUGAGGCACGAAAGCGUGGGGAGCGAACAGGAUUAGAUACCCUGGUAGUCC